AAUGGUUAGCACUCUGGACUCUGAAUCCA
This 29-nucleotide non-coding RNA is filed under the name Gallus gallus (chicken). Lineage: Eukaryota; Metazoa; Chordata; Aves; Galliformes; Phasianidae. RNAcentral also lists the same sequence under 3 other names. The record is from RNAcentral.